RNAcentral lists this ribosomal RNA (189 nucleotides) under uncultured Bacteroidota bacterium. RNAcentral's name for it is "uncultured Bacteroidetes bacterium partial 16S ribosomal RNA". It matches the Rfam family "Bacterial small subunit ribosomal RNA", at positions 338 to 524 of the family's 1533-position model. The record is from RNAcentral. Lineage: Bacteria; Pseudomonadati; Bacteroidota.
CCUACGGGAGGCAGCAGUGAGGAAUAUUGGUCAAUGGCCGGAAGCCUGAACCAGCCAAGCAGCGUGCAGGAUGACGGCCUUAUGGGUUGUAAACUGCUUUUUUUCGGGAAGAAUUAGGAUCACGAGUGAUUAUUUGCCUGUACCGUAAGAAUAAGCAUCGGCUAACUCCGUGCCAGCAGCCGCGGUAAU